RNAcentral lists this ribosomal RNA (316 nucleotides) under Pleurotus sp. PLHP-7. Its description in RNAcentral is "partial small subunit ribosomal RNA". The record is from RNAcentral. Lineage: Eukaryota; Fungi; Basidiomycota; Agaricomycetes; Agaricales; Pleurotaceae.
CCGUGAUGGACUAACCGUCUGUCGCUGGGAAGAAGCUUAACUUGGGGGAAACUGCCACGAAAAUAAAACUUUAAUCUAAGUUUGCCUUUCUUUAAUUUUGUUAUUUUAGAAAUUUAAAUUAUUAAUUUAAUUUUUUCCUAGUCCCUUAUCCUAAAGAUGAGGAGACAUAGGUAGGUAGUUUUUAUUUAUAUAUUUUUAUUUUAGUAUAAAAAAUAAUAAUUUUUGCAUUAAAAAAACACUUAUAUUAAGCUAUUUAGUAUCUGUUAACCCAUUUAAGUAACAUCUCAAAAGUCAUAGCAAGGUAGCUUGUACUGGG